RNAcentral lists this ribosomal RNA (301 nucleotides) under uncultured bacterium. RNAcentral's name for it is "partial 16S ribosomal RNA". It matches the Rfam family "Bacterial small subunit ribosomal RNA", at positions 509 to 809 of the family's 1533-position model. The record is from RNAcentral.
CAGUAGCCGCGGUAAUACGUAGGGUGCGAGCGUUAAUCGGAAUUACUGGGCGUAAAGCGUGCGCAGGCGGUUGUGUAAGACAGGUGUGAAAUCCCCGGGCUUAACCUGGGGACUGCGCUUGUGACUGCACAGCUAGAGUAUGGCAGAGGGGGGUGGAAUUCCACGUGUAGCGGUGAAAUGCGUAGAGAUGUGGAGGAACACCGAUGGCGAAGGCAGCCCCCUGGGCCAAUACUGACGCUCAUGCACGAAAGCGUGGGGAGCAAACAGGAUUAGAUACCCCAGUAGUCCCUGUCUCUUAUAA